Molecule: long non-coding RNA, 475 nt
Filed under: Dasypus novemcinctus (nine-banded armadillo)
Lineage: Eukaryota; Metazoa; Chordata; Mammalia; Cingulata; Dasypodidae
Description: lncRNA (ENSDNOG00000052463.1)
Source: RNAcentral
GGGGGGGGUUUCUUUCCACAGCAGAAUGGUAGGAGAAAUUUGGUUUAAUGCUGUUAAUCAAAUUUUAAAUGGUACAAACAUUAUUUUUUCAGGGAUUUACCUAUCAAAGCAAGGACAUUGGAAUAAUGGUUUUAAAGAAUGAAGAGAAGAGGACUAAAUGUCUGUACACCCCAAGAAAGCACCUGGUGGAGUCUGGCAGGAAGUAGAUAAAGGCGAUGAGGAUGACAUAGGAGGGGUGGAAGAAGAAGAGAGCUGGAACCAGGAAAAGGCCUUCACUGCUAGAGGAACGCCCGGAAGUCAACCCAAGUCCCAGCUGCUUGGAAACAGAGAAAGCAGAGGAGGGAGAAACGUGCUAAUCAGGAGUCACCUGGUCAAAGAAGGGAAACCAGGAGGGAGAAAGGAAGCUGGAGAAUCCCAGUGUUGGAGAGAGCUCCUCUGUCCCUCAGUGCACUUGAGGCAGGUUAGUAUAGUGAAG